UUCUGGAAUGAUACACAAAGAUUAGCAUGGUCCCUACGCAGGGAGGACACACAAAUUUGUGCAACGUUCCACAUUUCU
Molecule: small nuclear RNA, 78 nt
Filed under: Fukomys damarensis (Damara mole-rat)
Lineage: Eukaryota; Metazoa; Chordata; Mammalia; Rodentia; Bathyergidae
Source: RNAcentral